This is a long non-coding RNA of Perognathus longimembris pacificus (Pacific pocket mouse), 242 nucleotides long. RefSeq lists it as uncharacterized. The record is from RefSeq and is a predicted model, not a curated record. Lineage: Eukaryota; Metazoa; Chordata; Mammalia; Rodentia; Heteromyidae. The transcript is spliced from 3 exons.
AUAGUAUUAGUUUACUGAUGAUAUAUAGUAUAAUCUGUUAGAUAUAGUAUAAUCUGUAGAGAUGAUGCCUUUUAUUACAAAGUAAACUAUGUCCCCAGUACUUUACCUGAUCCACAGAAGGUGUCCAUGUAAUCAGGGAUGCAGAAAUUGUAAUAGAAAAGAAGAAGAAAGGAAAUAAGUUUCUAUAUAGUACUUAGCCUUGGAGUAUAAAAUAAUAAAAAAUUAAGAGUAAAAAGUUUAAA